Python bivittatus (Burmese python) is the source of this 1736-nucleotide non-coding RNA. Lineage: Eukaryota; Metazoa; Chordata; Lepidosauria; Squamata; Pythonidae. The record is from RefSeq and is a predicted model, not a curated record.
AGAAGCUCCUCCCCCAAGGCUCCCAGAGGAAGAGCGGGCGUCUAGCAACCAGGCAGUCGCUCGCCAGGCAUCUGAGGCUGCUCCCGGGUCGCUGGAAUGUCGGCACGCCUCCCGCCCGCAGCCGCCUUCCCUUGUGGGUGGGGAAAGCGCCCGGACAGCUACAGGCGAUGGCGAAGACUUGGGGGGUACUGAAGUCACAAUACAGUAAUCUGGAGCUCCUACUGCUCCCUCCUCCUGCCCCCGAGAGCAACGCGUGUGGACGCCAGGAAAAACAAACACGUGGUGCCUGUGGUGCGUUUUAAUUCCUUUCUCUCUCCAGCCCUUAGCGGAGUUGCUUUCCAGGACUUUUUGAGUCAUGAUAAACCGAUCGCUGUCUUGAAUUUUCGGAAACACUUUCCACUCGACGCAGCAGUAAUAGCCCUGUUCUGACACAAAUGAGGUUUUAUGAAAUAUCCCAGGCCGGACCUUUCCUCUCUGAAGCUUUCAUUUUAAUACUUCCGUCGUAUCCGCCCAAUCUUGGAAUUAACACUAGAAAGGGUUACAACAACUUGUUAAACGGUGGGGGAGGUUAACAGUCUGCGCUCCAUUGCUUCUUCUACAGCUCUAUUUGCUCACAGGCACGGAAGUUGUGGCCGAAUUUUAGAAGUUCCGAUUCUGCAAUUCCAAAUUAUAUUAGCCCCUAAACAUAUUGGAAUGGGACUCUUGAUUUUUUUUUUAAUGACUUCUAAUUCACAGAAGCUCAUGGAUGCUGUUAAAACUGAUAAGUCUUUCACGGAAAUAGGAGGAAAACAUAAAACAAGGAUGUACAGUGAAAUCCUGCAAAUGUCUGUUCAAAUGUCUAAGCAAUUCAGAAUGUGGAAGGAUGCACAACAAUCUGAUGUCCUCCAGAUAAUCCUGUAACUCCCAGGAUUCCCAGCCAGCAUGGCUUUGGGGAACAUUUUUAUAGCCUCUUAAGAGAUGUCCCUCUGGAAUUAAAUACUGUUAGCAUGUCCAAUACUGAAAUAGUGGCACAGUUGGUGACAAUGGGAGAAUACUGUAGGGAAAACAGUGGGUCUCAUUUUUUUUUAUUUUAAUUGCUAUUUUCAGCUGUGUAAUCUUGGUUAUAAUCUUUAAUUAUUCUGCAAAUAAUAUACAGACUUUGGUUAUUGUACACAUAGCUAUUAACUAUGCUUGCAUGAUGUACCAUUCCUCUGUAUUAGAUUAAUAGGACUGUGUGAACCUUAUUUAUCCCACCACAUGAGGCCUUUUGCCAAGUUCAGAAGCCUACCUGACAUGGAUGAACAGAGAGCAGACCUGCACAAGGAGAUCAAGAUUCAAAUUGUCACCUAGCUCCAAAUCACAGCUUGCUAUGAUGUUGGCUGCCACAAGAUUACCCUUCAAAGGGACAAAACUCUGUAGAGAACCUGAAUUUGAAUGAAGUUCCUAGCUGUCUGCUUUGCUCCAGAGAUAAAUGCUCAAGAAGAGAGGAACUGAAAAGGAUGAGCAAGAAAGACCUGCUUAGCACCAGCCAAUCAGGAAUCUAACUGAUCUCUUUCCAGCUAUUCCCUCUACAAUAACCUUUGAGCAUGUGCUGAAGCAAUGCAGGGAAUAAGUACCUUGCUUAGUUAGCCUGGCUAUUUUAAUAUUUGCAACUCUGGGUAUGACUGUUGCCUUUCAUUGUUUUACUGCAUCCCCCUUUUCCCAAUAAUUUCUAGAGAUUUGGCUUCAUUGAUUUUCUAAGGGAAUUUCUCAUUAAA